RNAcentral lists this non-coding RNA (30 nucleotides) under Homo sapiens (human). Lineage: Eukaryota; Metazoa; Chordata; Mammalia; Primates; Hominidae. The record is from RNAcentral.
UUGUGAUAUUCUCUAGCUAGAACCCAGAGA